AACGAACGCUGGCGGCAUGCCUAACACAUGCAAGUCGAACGAGACCUUCGGGUCUAGUGGCGCACUGGUGCGUAACGCGUGGGAACCUGCCCUUAGGUUCGGAAUAACUCCCCGAAUGGGGUGCUAAUACCGGAUAAUGUCUUCGGACCAAAGUUUUGUCGCCUUUGGAUGGGCCGGCGUUGGAUUACCUAGUUUGUAGGGUAAAAGCCUAUCAAUGCGACGAUCGAUAGCUGGUCUGAGAGGAUGAUCUGCGACACUGGUACUGAGCCACGGUCCAGACUAUUGCAGGAGGCAGCAGUGCGGAAUAUUGGCAAGUGGGCGAAGGCCUGAUCCAGCAAUGACGCGUGAGCGCUGAAGGCCUUAGGGUUGUAAAGCUCUUUUACACGGGAUGAUAAUGACAUUACCGAGAGAAUAAGCUCCGGCUAACUCCGUG
RNAcentral lists this ribosomal RNA (433 nucleotides) under uncultured bacterium. Its description in RNAcentral is "partial 16S ribosomal RNA". It matches the Rfam family "Bacterial small subunit ribosomal RNA", at positions 29 to 507 of the family's 1533-position model. The record is from RNAcentral.